UAAACAAAGAUCUAUUAACUGCUAGGAGUCUGUAGGUUUAUCACACCUUGUUCAGAAGUUGUCUUUCUCUAAAUUAUCUUCCCCACUCUGAACAAAGUUGCUGUUUAGUUAUUUUAUAGAUAUUGUGUGUGUUGUCCUCAUAUUGAAUAUUGAGGGGAUUUUUUUCACUGUUGUGUGUUUGUGAGAAGCGGCACAUGUUUGUGUGUACUCGUUAUAGAGAAACAGUUACUUUAAUUAGAAUUUCUGGGAAAAAAUACAUUUCAUUCAUAGUUUUUGAAAGUCAAAUUAGCUUUCAGUUAAUUACAACAGAUUUUUUUCUUGCAAUUUUUCUUUGUUGAAUUGACAAAGGGUAAAUUGUGAAUAUUUAAUGGGACAUAUUACC
This is a non-coding RNA of Pelobates cultripes (western spadefoot toad), 382 nucleotides long. The record is from the annotation of a GenBank genome assembly. Lineage: Eukaryota; Metazoa; Chordata; Amphibia; Anura; Pelobatidae.